GGGGCGGUGGUUUAGUGGUAUAAUAUUUCCUUAGCAAGCCGUAGCCAUCAAAAGCUACAUCUCCGCUUGGAAGGGGUCCGGGGUUCGAUUCCCCGCCGCUCCA
This is a non-coding RNA of Bacidia gigantensis, 103 nucleotides long. The record is from the annotation of a RefSeq genome assembly. NCBI's taxonomy places the organism in Eukaryota, Fungi, Ascomycota, Lecanoromycetes, Lecanorales, Ramalinaceae.